AGAACUUAGCAGAGAUGCUUGGUGCCUUCGGGAACUCUGAGACAGGUGCUGCAUGGCUGUCGUCAGCUCGUGUUGUGAAAUGUUGGGUUAAGUCCCGCAACGAGCGCAACCCUUAUCCUUUGUUGCCAGCGGUCCGGCCGGGAACUCAAAGGAGACUGCCAGUGAUAAACUGGAGGAAGGUGGGGAUGACGUCAAGUCAUCAUGGCCCUUACGAGUAGGGCUACACACGUGCUACAAUGGCGCAUACAAAGAGAAGCGACCUCGCGAGAGCAAGCGGACCUCAUAAAGUGCGUCGUAGUCCGGAUUGGAGUCUGCAACUCGACUCCAUGAAGUCGGAAUCGCUAGUAAUCGUGGAUCAGAAUGCCACGGUGAAUACGUUCCCGGGCCUUGUACACACCGCCCGUCACACCAUGGGAGUGGGUUGCAAAAGAAGUAGGUAGCUUAACCUUCGGGAGGGCGCUUACCACUUUGUGAUUCAUGACUGGGGUGAAGUCGUAACAAGGUAGGCGUAGUGCU
This 516-nucleotide ribosomal RNA is filed under the name uncultured bacterium. RNAcentral describes it as "bacterial SSU rRNA". It matches the Rfam family "Bacterial small subunit ribosomal RNA", at positions 992 to 1509 of the family's 1533-position model. The record is from RNAcentral.